This 67-nucleotide transfer RNA is filed under the name Marmota monax (woodchuck). Its description in RNAcentral is "tRNA.Ala". Lineage: Eukaryota; Metazoa; Chordata; Mammalia; Rodentia; Sciuridae. The record is from RNAcentral.
GUUGUCGCUCAGUGGUAGAGGGCUUGCCUAGCAUGUGUGAGGCCCUGGGUUCAAUUCUCAGCAUACA